This 494-nucleotide ribosomal RNA is filed under the name uncultured bacterium. RNAcentral's name for it is "bacterial SSU rRNA". It matches the Rfam family "Bacterial small subunit ribosomal RNA", at positions 355 to 865 of the family's 1533-position model. The record is from RNAcentral.
UGAGGAAUAUUGCACAAUGGGCGAAAGCCUGAUGCAGCAACGCCGCGUGGGGGACGAAGGCCUUCGGGUUGUAAACCCCUUUUCUGCGGGAAGAGAAAGGACGGUACCGCAGGAAUAAGUCACGGCUAACUACGUGCCAGCAGCCGCGGUAAAACGUAGGUGGCGAACGUUAUCCGGAUUUACUGGGCGUAAAGCGCUCGCAGGCGGCUUCGUAAGUCUGACGUGAAAGCCCCCGGCUUAACUGGGGGAGGUCGUUGGAUACUGCGGAGCUUGAGGACGGAAGAGGAGAGUGGAAUUCCCGGUGUAGCGGUGGAAUGCGUAGAUAUCGGGAGGAACUCCAGUGGCGAAGGCGACUCUCUGGUCCGUUCCUGACGCUCAGGAGCGAAAGCGUGGGGAGCGAACAGGAUUAAAUACCCUGGUAGUCCACGCUGUAAACGAUGUGAACUAGGUGUUGGCGCUGUUAUGGCGUCAGUGCCGUANCUAACGCGUUAAGU